RNAcentral lists this ribosomal RNA (468 nucleotides) under uncultured bacterium. RNAcentral describes it as "partial 16S ribosomal RNA". It matches the Rfam family "Bacterial small subunit ribosomal RNA", at positions 28 to 507 of the family's 1533-position model. The record is from RNAcentral.
GACGAACGCUGGCGGCGUGCUUAACACAUGCAAGUCGAACGGAAAGGCCCUGCUUUUGUGGGGUGCAUGAGUGGCGAACGGGUGAGUAACACGUGAGUAACCUGCCCUUGACUUUGGGAUAACUUCAGGAAACUGGGGCUAAUACCGGAUAGGAGCUCCUGCUGCACGGUGGGGGUUGGUAAGUUUCGGCGGUUGGGGAUGGACUCGCGGCUUAUCCGCUUGUUGGGGGAGUAGGGGCAUACCAAGGCUUUGACGGGUAGCCGGCCUGGGAGGGUGAACGGGCACAUUGGUACUGCGAUACGGACCAGACUCCUACGGGAGGCAACGGUGGGGAAUAUUGCACAAUGGGCGGAAGCCUGAUGCAGAAACGCCGCGUGCGGGAUGACGGCCUUCGGGUUGUAAACCGCUUUCGCCUGUGACGAAGCGUGAGUGGCGGUAAUGGGUAAAGAAGCACCGGCUAACUACGUG